AAAGUUGUUUAAUGGAAAAUGAUCAGAAUUUUUCUGAAAUAUGUGAGUUCGAAUCUCACCGACUUUU
RNAcentral lists this transfer RNA (67 nucleotides) under Eutypa lata UCREL1. Lineage: Eukaryota; Fungi; Ascomycota; Sordariomycetes; Xylariales; Diatrypaceae. The record is from Rfam by way of RNAcentral.